RNAcentral lists this ribosomal RNA (574 nucleotides) under Filobasidium floriforme. Its description in RNAcentral is "partial large subunit ribosomal RNA". It matches the Rfam family "Eukaryotic large subunit ribosomal RNA", at positions 98 to 658 of the family's 3401-position model. The record is from RNAcentral. Lineage: Eukaryota; Fungi; Basidiomycota; Tremellomycetes; Filobasidiales; Filobasidiaceae.
GCGGGAAGAGCUCAAAUUUGAAAUCUGGUGGCCUCAGGUCAUCCGAGUUGUAAUCUAUAGAAGUGUUUUCCGUGCUGGCUCAUGUACAAGUCCCUUGGAACAGGGCGUCAUAGAGGGUGAGAAUCCCGUCCUUGACAUGAACUACCAGUGCUCUGUGAUACAUUUUCAACGAGUCGAGUUGUUUGGGAAUGCAGCUCAAAAUGGGUGGUAAAUUCCAUCUAAAGCUAAAUAUUGGCGAGAGACCGAUAGCGAACAAGUACCGUGAGGGAAAGAUGAAAAGCACUUUGGAAAGAGAGUUAAACAGUAUGUGAAAUUGUUAAAAGGGAAACGAUUGAAGUCAGUCGUGCUCUUUGGAUUCAGCCGGUUCUGCCGGUGUACUUCCUUUGAGUGGGGUCAACAUCAGUUUUGAUCGCUGGAUAAAGGCUGGAGGAACGUAGUACCCUCGGGUAAACUUAUAGCCUCCUGUCACAUACAGUGGUUGGGACUGAGGAACGCAGCACGCCUUUAUGGCCGGGAUUCGUCCACGUACGUGCUUAGGAUGUUGACAUAAUGGCUUUAAACGACCCGUCUUGAA